GGCCAGACUCCUACGGGAGGCAGCAGUGGGGAAUAUUGCACAAUGGGGGAAACCCUGAUGCAGCGACGCCGCGUGAGUGAAGAAGUAUUUCGGUAUGUAAAGCUCUAUCAGCAGGGAAGAAAAUGACGGUACCUGACUAAGAAGCCCCGGCUAACUACGUGCCAGCAGCCGCGGUAAUACGUAGGGGGCAAGCGUUAUCCGGAUUUACUGGGUGUAAAGGGGGCGCAGACGGCGAUGCAAGCCAGGAGUGAAAGCCCGGGGCCCAACCCCGGGACUGCCCUUGGAACUGCAUGGCUGGAGUGCGGGAGGGGCAGGCGGAAUUCCUGGUGUAGCGGUGAAAUGCGUAGAUAUCAGGAGGAACACCGGCGGCGAAGGCGGCCUGCUGGACCGUGACUGACGUUGAGGCUCGAGAGCGUGGGGAGCAAACAGGAUUAGAUACCCUGGUACA
This 448-nucleotide ribosomal RNA is filed under the name uncultured bacterium. RNAcentral's name for it is "partial 16S ribosomal RNA". It matches the Rfam family "Bacterial small subunit ribosomal RNA", at positions 329 to 794 of the family's 1533-position model. The record is from RNAcentral.